RNAcentral lists this transfer RNA (75 nucleotides) under Candidatus Oleimmundimicrobium sp. Its description in RNAcentral is "tRNA-Gly". It matches the Rfam family "tRNA". Rfam says of the family: Transfer RNA (tRNA) molecules are approximately 80 nucleotides in length. Their secondary structure includes four short double-helical elements and three loops (D, anti-codon, and T loops). Lineage: Bacteria; Bacillati; Actinomycetota; Candidatus Aquicultoria; Candidatus Subteraquimicrobiales; Candidatus Oleimmundimicrobiaceae. The record is from RNAcentral.
GCGGAAGUAGCUCAGUGGUAGAGCAUCACCUUGCCAAGGUGAGGGUCGCGGGUUCAAAUCCCGUCUUCCGCUCCA